Molecule: ribosomal RNA, 245 nt
Filed under: uncultured Eubacteriales bacterium
Lineage: Bacteria; Bacillati; Bacillota; Clostridia; Eubacteriales
Description: uncultured Clostridiales bacterium partial 16S ribosomal RNA
Rfam family: Bacterial small subunit ribosomal RNA
Source: RNAcentral
UACGUAGGGGGCAAGCGUUGUCCGGAAUUACUGGGCGUAAAGGGUGCGUAGGCGGUUUAAUAAGUUAGAUGUGAAAUCCCCGGGCUUAACUUGGGAGUGGCAUUUAAAACUGUUAAACUAGAGUGCAGGAGAGGAAAGCGGAAUUCCUAGUGUAGCGGUGAAAUGCGUAGAUAUUAGGAGGAACACCAGUGGCGAAGGCGGCUUUCUGGACUGUAACUGACGCUGAGGCACGAAAGCGUGGGGAG